RNAcentral lists this ribosomal RNA (495 nucleotides) under Hydrocanthus sp. SMB-2016. Its description in RNAcentral is "partial 16S ribosomal RNA". The stretch from base 374 to 495 matches the Rfam family "Bacterial large subunit ribosomal RNA", at positions 2473 to 2594 of the family's 2925-position model. The record is from RNAcentral. Lineage: Eukaryota; Metazoa; Arthropoda; Insecta; Coleoptera; Noteridae.
GAUUUUAUUUAAGGUCUGACCUGCCCUAUGAAUAUUAAAUGGCCGCGGUAUUUUGACCGUGCGAAGGUAGCAUAAUCAUUAGUUUUUUAAUUGAAAGCUUGUAUGAAUGGUUUGACGAGAUAAGAACUGUUUCUAUAUAAAAAUUAUAAUUUUAUUUUUGAGUAAAAAAGCUUAAAUUUUUUUAAAAGACGAGAAGACCCUAUAAAUCUUUAUAUUUUUAUUUUAAAUAAUUUUAGUUUUUUUUUAAUUAUUUUUAUUAAAAUUUAUUUAAUUGGGGAAAUUUAAUGAUUUAUUAAAUUCAUUAUUUUUAUUAUUCAUUUAUAUAUGUUUAAUUGAUCCUUUAUUAAAGAUUAUAAGAUUAAGUUACUUUAGGGAUAACAGCGUAAUUUUUCUGGAGAGUUCAUAUCUAUAGAAGAGAUUGCGACCUCGAUGUUGGAUUAAAAUUAAUUUUGGGUGCAGAAUUUCACAAAAUUUGGUCUGUUCGACCAUUAAAAU